Molecule: non-coding RNA, 193 nt
Organism: Macaca mulatta (Rhesus monkey)
Lineage: Eukaryota; Metazoa; Chordata; Mammalia; Primates; Cercopithecidae
Source: RefSeq, a predicted model, not a curated record
AGUAGCUGGGAUUACUGGCUCCUGCACCCGGCUAAUUUUUCCCAGCAUGUGAUCCAGCUUGAUCCCAGCAUAUGAUCCAGCUUGAUGAACGUUCCCUGUGCACAUGAAAAGAAUGGAUAUUCUUCUGUUGUUGGCUGUAGUGUUCUAUGUCAGACGGAGUCUCGCUCUAUCGCCCAGGCUGGAGUGCAGUGGC